GAAGAAAGAAGGAGAUUGUAUGCUUUGCAGUUAUCCCUACUAGAAGGAUCCAAGACCAAAUUCAUAUCAUCUACCUACACACCAAACCCAAUUAUCUGGGUACCUACGCAUACCUGGAAAUUUCCAAGUGUUGAAAUAACAGAGGAGUCAUGGAUGUCUGGGAAUGAACUGGUGAAGUACAGCAGUGGAUGGGUCCUCAGAAGCUAUGGAGCCCAAAUUCACACCAAGUGCACAAGCUUUCUGUGCAUUUACCGACAGCUUUUCUCAGAGAGAAACAGGAAUGUUGAUAUUAAUGUAUUUCCCUAAGCAACAGAGAAUCUGUCUUCAGACCAGGAAUCUCACAGGUCUCCAGAGCAUGCUGCUCUCAACAGAAGGGAUUUGCAAACAUGGCAACGUUGGAUCCACCAGGGGGAGCAGUUCACCAGCACAAGACAGGCCUUCCCCAAAGGAAGUCGCUGAAAAUGAUGAAUCAGAAGAAAGAUUCCUAUGAUCCGUCUCAAGAUGAUGCUGGGGCUGCUAUUCAGUUCUGCUGUUAUCUACUCCCCAAAUUACUUACAAGCCAGCUGCAAUUAAAAAAAAAAAAGGCAAAGAGAGGCUGAGGAUCUAGCCCAGUGGUUCUGCCUCCUGCCUCGCAAGCUCAAGGUCCCAAGAUCAAUCCCCGGUACCAAAAAAAAAAAAAAAAAAAAAAAAAAAAAAAAAAAAAUCCAAAAGGAGGUUAAAAAAAAUGAAGGUUCGUUGGGAAGACGUGCAACUUACAUUCUUAGGAAGUUUAGCAUCAGAGCGGGAUUUUCUGAUACUGGGUAAGUAUUUCCUGAGUCACUCUCACCCUAGAAUCUUCACAAAACAAUAGGCACACAAGAAAUGUUCAUUGGUGAACUAUUGCCAAUAGUAGGUUACUUCUAAAGUCUGGGUUUAUUUUUAGUCCUGGGGAUCAAAUCGCUG
This 942-nucleotide long non-coding RNA is filed under the name Fukomys damarensis (Damara mole-rat). RNAcentral describes it as "lncRNA (ENSFDAG00000026768.1)". Lineage: Eukaryota; Metazoa; Chordata; Mammalia; Rodentia; Bathyergidae. The record is from RNAcentral.